Molecule: ribosomal RNA, 388 nt
Filed under: uncultured eukaryote
Lineage: Eukaryota
Description: partial 18S ribosomal RNA
Rfam family: Eukaryotic small subunit ribosomal RNA
Source: RNAcentral
CAAGAGCGUAUGUUAAAGUUGUUGCAGUUAAAAAGCUCGUAGUUGGAUUUCUGGUACAAUGCGCCUGGCCCGCGACCGUUAGGUCUGUGAGUGCCGGUGCGCGUUUGCCAUCCUUCUAGAAAACGUUUCUACCCUUCACUGGGCCGGACUCGCGAUCUAGAUCUUUUACUUUGAAAAAAUUAGAGUGUUUAAAGCAGGCUUUUGCUGUGAAUACAUUAGCAUGGAAUAAUAAUCUAGGACUUCGGUUCUAUUUUGUUGGUUUCUAGUACUGAAGUAAUGAUUGAUAGGGAUAGUUGGGGGUGCUAGUAUUGGCCGGCCAGAGGUGAAAUUCUUGGAUUCGGUCAAGACUAACUUAUGCGAAAGCAUUCACCAAGGAUGUCUUCUUUAA